CCUACGGGAGGCAGCAGUGGGGAAUCUUCCGCAAUGGGCGAAAGCCUGACGGAGCAACGCCGCGUGAGUGAAGAAGGUCUUCGGAUCGUAAAGCUCUGUUGUUGGGGACGAAAGGGUAGACGAGGCAAUGCGUCUACUAAGACGGUACCCGACGAGGAAGCCACGGCUAACUACGUGCCAGCAGCCGCGGUAAUACGUAGGUGGCGAGCGUUGUCCGGAAUGAUUGGGCGUAAAGGGAGCGCAGGUGGGACGGUAAGUCCUUCUUAAAAGCGUGGGGCUCAGCCCCAUGAAGGGAAGGAAACUAUCGAUCUUGAGUGCCGGAGAGGAAAGCGGAAUUCCCAGUGUAGCGGUGAAAUGCGUAGAUAUUGGGAAGAACACCAGUGGCGAAGGCGGCUUUCUGGACG
Molecule: ribosomal RNA, 404 nt
Filed under: uncultured Treponema sp.
Lineage: Bacteria; Pseudomonadati; Spirochaetota; Spirochaetia; Treponematales; Treponemataceae
Description: bacterial SSU rRNA
Rfam family: Bacterial small subunit ribosomal RNA
Source: RNAcentral